RNAcentral lists this ribosomal RNA (253 nucleotides) under uncultured bacterium. Its description in RNAcentral is "partial 16S ribosomal RNA". It matches the Rfam family "Bacterial small subunit ribosomal RNA", at positions 524 to 776 of the family's 1533-position model. The record is from RNAcentral.
UACAGAGGGGGCAAGCGUUGUUCGGAAUUACUGGGCGUAAAGGGCGCGUAGGCGGCCUUCUAAGUCGAACGUGAAAUCCCCGGGCUCAACCCGGGAACUGCGUCCGAUACUGGAAGGCUUGAAUCCGGGAGAGGGAUGCGGAAUUCCAGGUGUAGCGGUGAAAUGCGUAGAUAUCGGAAGGAACGCCGGUGGCGAAAGCGACGUGCUGGACCUCUACUGACGCUGAGGCGCGAAAGCCAGGGGAGCAAACGGG